Molecule: unclassified non-coding RNA, 698 nt
Filed under: Scleria angustifolia
Lineage: Eukaryota; Viridiplantae; Streptophyta; Magnoliopsida; Poales; Cyperaceae
Description: sequence contains ITS1, 5.8S rRNA gene, ITS2
Rfam family: 5.8S ribosomal RNA (bases 247-401)
Source: RNAcentral
CGUAGGUGAACCUGCGGAAGGAUCAUUGUCGGUUUUGACUCGGGAAAACACGAUCGGAGCACACGUGACAGAACCCUGCUGGCGCGGACGCUCCGCUCCAGCAAACCGGCCACAGUCGCCGUGCCCUCCGGGUGCGUCGGCUGCUUGGCAGAUUACGGCGCGGGCUGACGCCAAGUGACCAGCGAUGCUGAGGCCGCGGCGGCAUAAUGUAGUGCCGAGUGCGGCUGACGCCAAUGAUUUUGACAUGACUCUCGGCAACGGAUAUCUCGGCUCUCGCAUCGAUGAAGAACGUAGCGAAAUGCGAUACGUGGUGUGAAUUGCAGAAUCCCGCGAACCAUCGAGUUUUUGAACGCAAGUUGCGCCCUAGGGACCUGCCCGAGGGCACGCCUGCCUCAUGGGCGUAAUUAGCCCAUCAACGCUCAUGUGUCGUAGCCAUGUCCCUUGUGACGGGCGUGGACCGAAGCGGAUGAUGGCCCUCCGAGCCUUGAGGGCAACGGCGGGCCCAAGUGUUUGUCGGUCGCAUGUGUCCGGGAUCGGUGAGUUGUGGGAACCUACAUGCUCCGCCCCGUGCAUCUGCUGGCGUCUGGCGUUUCAAAUUCGACCCAGGUUGAGGAGCUCGUUGCCGGUGCCCCCGGCCACGAGCAACCCUCGGACCGAUACCCCAGGUCAGGCGGGGCUACCCGCUGAGUUUAAGCAUA